GGGCGUGUGGCUCAGUUGGUAGAGCGUUCGCUUAGCAUGUUCAUUCGACGAUGUGCGAAAGGUCCUGGGUUCGAUUCCCAGCCCGUCCA
This is a non-coding RNA of Lasiosphaeria ovina, 89 nucleotides long. The record is from the annotation of a GenBank genome assembly. NCBI's taxonomy places the organism in Eukaryota, Fungi, Ascomycota, Sordariomycetes, Sordariales, Lasiosphaeriaceae.